GUAGGUGGCAAGCGUUGUCCGGAAUUAUUGGGCGUAAAGCGCGCGCAGGCGGUUCUUUAAGUCUGAUGUGAAAGCCCACGGGCUCAACCGUGGAGGGUCAUUGGAACCUGGAGAACUUGAGUACAGAAGAGGAAAGCGGAAUUCCACGUGUAGCGGUGAAAUGCGUAGAGAUGUGGAGGAACACCAGUGGCGAAGGCGGCUUUCUGGUCCGUAACUGACGCUGAGGCGCGAAAGCGUGGGGAGCAAACAGGAUUAGAUACCCUGGUAGUCCGCGCCGUAAACGAUGAGUGCUAAGUGUUAGGGGGUUUCCGCCCCUUAGUGCUGCAGCUAACGCAUUAAGCACUCCGCCUGGGGAGUACGGCCGCAAAGGCUG
This 373-nucleotide ribosomal RNA is filed under the name uncultured organism. RNAcentral describes it as "partial 16S ribosomal RNA". It matches the Rfam family "Bacterial small subunit ribosomal RNA", at positions 527 to 896 of the family's 1533-position model. The record is from RNAcentral.